GACAGAGGGUGCAAACGUUCGUUCGGAAUUACGUGGCGUAAAGCGCAUGUAGGCGGCUCGGAAAGUCGGAUGUGAAAGCCCUGGGCUCAACCUAGGAAGAGCAUUCGGAAACUCCCGAGCUUGAGUUCUGGAGAGGAAGGCGGAAUUCGUCGGAUCGUAGAGGUGGAAAUUCGAUAGAUAUCGAGAAGGAACACCGGUGGCGAAGGCGGCCUUCUGGACGAGUGACU
Molecule: ribosomal RNA, 227 nt
Filed under: uncultured bacterium
Lineage: Bacteria
Description: partial 16S ribosomal RNA
Rfam family: Bacterial small subunit ribosomal RNA
Source: RNAcentral